GACGAACGCUGGCGGCGUGCCUAAUACGUGCAAGUCGAGCGAAGUUUUUCUGGUGCUUGCACCGGAAAAACUUAGCGGCGAACGGGUGAGUAACACGUAAAGAACCUGCCUCAUAGACUGGGACAACUAUUGGAAACGAUAUCUAAUACCGGAUAAUAGCAUUAACUGCAUGGUUGAUGUUUAAAAGUUGGUUUUGCUAACACUAUGAGAUGGCUUUGCGGUGCAUUAGCUAGUUGGUGGGGUAAAGGCCUACCAAGGCGACGAUGCAUAGCCGACCUGAGAGGGUGAUCGGCCACACUGGGACUGAGACACGGCCCAGACUCCUACGGGAGGCAGCAGUAGGGAAUCUUCCGCAAUGGGCGAAAGCCUGACGGAGCAACGCCGCGUGAGUGAAGAAGGAUUUCGGUUCGUAAAGCUCUGUUGUUAGGGAAGAAUGAUUGUGUAGUAACGAUACACAGUAGAGACGGUACCUAACCAGAAAGCCACGGCUAACUACGUG
RNAcentral lists this ribosomal RNA (499 nucleotides) under uncultured bacterium. Its description in RNAcentral is "partial 16S ribosomal RNA". It matches the Rfam family "Bacterial small subunit ribosomal RNA", at positions 28 to 507 of the family's 1533-position model. The record is from RNAcentral.